Ictalurus punctatus (channel catfish) is the source of this 3140-nucleotide long non-coding RNA. RefSeq lists it as uncharacterized. The transcript is spliced from 3 exons. Lineage: Eukaryota; Metazoa; Chordata; Actinopteri; Siluriformes; Ictaluridae. The record is from RefSeq and is a predicted model, not a curated record.
GGGACAGACGUGAGAAAGUGGAAAGACGUGAGGACGCAACAGAGAAGUGAAAGAGCAUGGAGAGAGAAAGAGAGAAACAAAGCGCUGACACUGGAGUUAACUGAGUGUGCUGAGGUCUAUGCAAUGUUUUAGUCUGGAAAAACUCCUUUCCUUGACAUCACAGCCGGCUCAAACCCAGGCUAAAAUCACACAUAUGGAAGGAUGCUGAAUGUUUGAAUGUUCCGGGAGAACAUUCCUGAGGCAGAUAAACUUAAGCAGCCGGUGGUGAUGGCGGUGAGGAAAAACUCCCUAAGAGGAUAUGAGGAAGAAACCUUGAGAGGAACCAGACUCAGAAGGAAACCCGUCCUCAUCUGGGUAACAGCGGAUAGUGUGAAUUAAAGUUCAUUAUGGUGUUUAUAUGAAGUCUGUUUGUUGAACUAGUCCACUGUUCACUAAAGGAGACCUGAGUGUAAAACUGCAUGUGGUAAUUGCAGUCCCAAGGCCAUCGCAGCAACCGUAGUCCCAGCAACCACAGCGAGAACGUCCAUGUGGAAUUGAGGUCCAAAACCAUUUCCAUGGUACUUCAAGUGGUACCGUCCUCAGCAAUCUCCAGGCUGCACUGCUUGGGGUCAUCCUCAGUGGCAGAAUGUAGCCUCCAGUUGAUGAGAGCUCCAUCCAGAGGUAAGGCAUCAGGAUGGAUGAAGCAGGUCCGGAGAGCAGAAAGGAUCAGGAUCUCCAUAAUAUUAUGUGUGGCUUGAGAGAAGGAGAGAGGGAGAGGGAUGUAAAGAGAGGGAGAGAUUGUUAGGUAUGCUUACUAUCCCAUAAUGGAUAAGACUGUGUACUUUGUGUAAAAGAAAGUCUAUUCAUGGUAAGCUUGAGUAAACAAAUAUGUUUUCAGUAUCUCGGAUGGACACGCAGACAAACCUAGUGUCAGAGACAUAAAUUCUUGUAAUAUAUUCAUGUUAUAAGAAUAUUCAUAAAUUCUUGAAUAUAUAAAUAUUAUGUAAACCUUCACAGGACCCAAAAGCAUAACCUUUAGACUUUAAAUGGUCUAGGAGCCAAAUGUUCGUCUUUUUUAUUUUUAUUUUUAUAAAAUGUAUAAAAGCUGUAUAGCAACUGAACCCAAAUUUAAAGCUAAACCUAAAGUUAAACUCAAAGCUGGAUCUGGUUUAAAACAUUACAAGUGGCAGGAAAAUGCAUGAACACCUGAAUGUUCUGUGAUGGUGUGUGUGUGUGAUCAGGCAUUAAGUGUGGCUUUAUCAUGAGUAGCUGCUGGAUGUAUAUCUCAUUUUUUUCUCUCAUUUUAAUGGUAAUUAUACAUAAUGCCACAUAAUGAACCUAAAAUGGAGCUCCAGCUACAAAUGUCAGACAGUGACACUUUGCCUUUUUUACCACGUUUCUUUUGUUCCUGUAGACAGGUCACACUGUGCCUGAUAAGAUGAAGAGAUCUGAACCUUCUUCUUUUUUUGUGUGUGCGUGUGUGUGUGUGUGUGUGUGUGUGUGUGUGUGUGUGUGUGUGUGUGUGUGUGUUUCUUUCUUGUGAGCCUUUUAGACAUUUUCAGGGAACACUUAUUGCCAUGGCAACUUUGUCAUGUGCCUUUUUUUUGUUUGUUUCAACGCCAGCUGAGAUGUCUGGCUCUGGAGUGUACGUGUGUCUGUAAUAGUGUGUGCUAAUAUGUGUAGACUUGAGAUCAAGGAUUUUGCCGUGGUUCCAAAAGUGUGUGAGUGUGUUUGCACUAUAAAGUUAGAGCCCACAUUACCUAGCAUUUACAUGAAUAAAAAUGAGUAUAGACCAUAUAUCAUCGAUGUUGACUAGAUCAAUGGUCACCAACCCUGUUCCUGGAGAUCUACCUUCCUGAAGACUUUAUCUCCAAACAUAAUGGUGCCCACCUGACCAUCUAAUCACUAGUAGCCUUAAGAAGUUCUUGAUCAUCUAAAACACACAUGUGAGACUUUGGUUGGAGAUGAAAACUUCAGGAAGGUAGAACUCGAGGAAGAGGGUUCUGUGACCAAUGAUUUAGAUGUUUAUUGAUCAGCCUGCUAAUUCUAUCACAUUACGAUAGCAGGGUAACCCACAUUCACCACUGGACCACACAGUUGAACUAGAGCAGCUACUUUUGUACUGAUGAACUACUUCUCAUACUCAACACAAUUAUAUUGAAAUAUUAAUGACUCAUAACAUAAGUUAGCCUAAUCUCACAUAAACAUUUAAAAUCCAAAUAUAACAUUUAUGUUUUAACUAUGUUUGUUUAUUGAAUGGCAUUGGUAAGACAAACCAGCAGAUGAGACUUAGUGACUAGCGAGCUAUUAAGUUAGUCACAUCAGCUAGCUAAAUAAGGUUGUGUUCUGUUAACUACUUCCUUUUAACUACAGAGGAGCCUCUGGAAUAGAAAAAAGCAAAUGGGUGGCUGUGACUCAGGUGGUAGAGCGGGUUGUCCACUAAUCGUAGGGUUGGCGGUUCGAUUCUCAGCCCACAUGACUCCACAUACCGAAGUGUCCUUGGACAAGACACUGAACCCCAAGUUACUCCCAAUGGCAAGUUAGUGCCUUGCAUGACAGCUCUGCUACCAUUGGUGUAUGAGUGUGUGUGUGAAUGGGUGAAUGAGACACAGUGUAAAGCGCUUUGGAUAAAAGCGCUAUAUAAGUGCAGACCAUUUACCAAAUAAACGCAAAUAUGACGUUUUCCUCAUUUCAUUGUAGUAGUUUGUAAACAGUUCCUCAUUUGUAGGGAACAAAUUUUCAAUUUCAGGAUCCCAUUAGCUAGUUAAACGAUGUCCCACUUGGGCAGCUCAAUGACUUCGUUAAUGUCCAGUCACCUAGGUUUACUAUUUACCCAUUACAUGACAUUCAACAUGAGCUGGAUGACUGAAAACCUCAGAAAUCUUAUGAUGGAAUUGUCUACCCUCUCACCCCACAGAAUGAUUUGUUCAACGACUGACUCGCAUCUUGAGUUGAGUUUCCAGUUCUUCAUUUUUAAUUCCCAUCAAGUCAAACAUUUCUGAAAAAAACAAUAAAAUGAUUCUGAUGCUCGAUUACGAGGGGGAUUUCUGCAGUUAUUCACUGCAGUGAGAGUUAUGUCAUUAUCAGAGCAGGUCUUCAUGUCUUGUGAUGUUAGUAAGAGUCUCAGUGUGUCUUGUGAUGCUUUUGUAAAUAAAAGGACC